Molecule: long non-coding RNA, 1075 nt
Organism: Physeter macrocephalus (sperm whale)
Lineage: Eukaryota; Metazoa; Chordata; Mammalia; Artiodactyla; Physeteridae
Exons: 3
Source: RefSeq, a predicted model, not a curated record
CAGUUAAGUGGGGUUAUUUUAUGGCUCUACCGGUCCGACCAAAUAAGGGAUGGUGGAUUUACGAUCAGAUUCUGAAUUCUAGAACAGGAAGGGACCUGGAAUGAACAGAAGAGCAGACGCCCGGGGCUCGGCGAUGUGCAGGUUUGUCACGACUGUUUCUGGACCCAGAGGGAACCGGGUAAGGAUGGCAAGACUCAUCAGGGCUGUCCCCGCAGGACGUAAGGUCUGCUGAGCAACUGGCUCCUCCCUCCCUGGGGCCAUGUGUCAUUAUUCAGCCCGUGGGGGUCAGGGUAGUUCAGAGGGUACUUGCUGAGGUUGCAGACCUGGAGAUCCAGGAUUUGGGGGAAGUUGGUGCCAAGAAUUGUCUCUUCUCUUUUCCACGAGGAAGCUCAGCUCAUCCACGGGUGUGGAAGAAAGAUGAGAACGAGGUUCAGACCUGCAGGCUGGCUCAGUGUCCACGAGGACGGAUGUCCCCCUCACCAAGCACCGUAGGGGGGCAUACAGUCAUCAGUGAAGGGCUUCCGAGAAGCAUGAAAACCCCCAUGGAUGGAGCCCCGGGAACGGACAUGAGGACGAAGGUGGGCUCUGUGAAACAGAGGUGUGAUCUAACUCACUGUGACACGACAGCAUCCAGCUGGUCCAUCAGGACGGUCUUCAGUGAUGGGGUCCCGAGGAGGAGGCUUAAGGAAAGUGUUGUUCUGCAGAAACCAAGACCCCCGCCCGGUGGAGGAUGGUGACCAUGUGCUGACCACAAGCACUAGACCCCAGGCUGGUUGGAACCAGAAGGCUGAUGAUUGAGAUUCCCCAAAACACCACCCUGUUACCUCACCACCAACCAAUCAGAAGAAGGUCCAGGAGCUGAUCAGGCAUCCUAGGACCCUCUCCCCCAACACUGUCUUUAAAAACCCUUCCCUGAAAGCCAUCGGGGAGCUCAGGUCCUUUGAGCAUGAGCUGCCCAUUCUCCUUGCUUGGCACCUGCAAUAAACGCUGUACUUUCUUUCGCCACUUCCCGGGGACAGCAGAUUGGCUUCACUGCACCUCUGGACCCAAGUGGACCCAAGUAUGGUUCGGUAAC